Molecule: RNA transcript, 5404 nt
Organism: Zea mays
Lineage: Eukaryota; Viridiplantae; Streptophyta; Magnoliopsida; Poales; Poaceae
Gene name: kinesin-like protein 3
Exons: 20
Source: RefSeq, a predicted model, not a curated record
GACCUACGCGAGGACAAAACAGCAAAACCAAAGCGCUCAGCCGCUCGCGAGGAGCGAAAGGCGAGCGCGCAGCCGGGCGCCCGUGGCGGAGGCGAAACCCCCGCCGCCGCAUCGCCCUGAGACCCUCCGGUUCGGCCCGGGCCGAGCUCGAGCCCGCGCAAUCUCGCCGCCGGCGGGCUUGAUCUGAUCCAAGGCCACCGCGCGCCGGCGCGGGCGGCGAGGAAUGGGGAGCGUGGACGGCCGCGGGGUCGAGGGGAUCCACGAAGCUAAUCGGCGCGCGCAGUUGAUUGGAUGGAUGAAUGCCUUACUCCCGGAAUUCAGUUUGCCUCCGGAUUCAUCGAGUGAAGAGCUGCGAGAGCUGCUCAGUGACGGCGUGGUCCUGUGCCGUCUUGUGAACACACUCAUCCCGGGGGUUCUUGAGGGAUCCUGGGAGGGUUAUGCACCGUCAGAUCAGAGGUUAGGCAACGUGAAGAAAUUCCUCUCGGUGGUCUCUGAUAUGGGGCUGCCAGGCUUCAGUUUGAAAGAUCUUGAUGAGGGAUUAAUGUCUUCUGUAGUGGAAUGUCUCUUGGUUUUGAGGGGCAGUGUGGAUCCUAGAUUAGGUGAUGAUAUUCCACCAGAUGUUACCAGAACUCCUUUGAGAAAACAAUGGGGAGUUCAGGAAAUGGACAAGCCUCAAGUUCCCGCUGCAGCACUAGGGAAAAGAUCCCCUGCAGAGGACAUGAGAAACGGCGUUGCAGAUUCCAAAACCCAUCAGAAAACUUCUGUCUUUUCUGGACAAAAGGUUCGUGAAGUUUUCCAAUUAAAACGCGGAUCAUAUUCAGAUCUUACUGCUGCCAAGAUUUCAGAGAUGAUGCACUCUAAUAGCUUAGAUAAUGCACCGACACAGUCGCUUAUUAGUGUUGUUAAUGGUAUUUUGGAUGAAAGCAUAGAAAGGAAAAAGGGAGAAAUACCACAUCGUGUAGUUUACUUACUGCGGAAAGUCGUUCAAGAGAUUGAGCACCGUCUCUGUAUUCAAGCAGAGCACAUAAGAAGUCAAAAUGUUACCAUCAAGACAAGAGAACAAAAGUACUGUUCAAAAAUUAAAGCACUUGAAAUGUUGGUAAAUGGCACAAAUGAAGAAAACCAGAUGGCAAUAAACAGGCUUCAGAUAGUCAAGAAUGAGAAGUCACAAAUCGAAGAGAAAAAAGAACUCUGUGAGAAAGAUGUUCAACGAUUAAUGAAAGAGAAAGAAUAUUCCAAAAGCAUCAUAAUGAACCUAACAAAAGAUAUGGAAGCCAUGAAUAGAUUGCAUGAGCAGCAACUUGAGCAAAUUGGAAGAAAGGCAAAGGAAAUGGAGGAACAAUUAACCACCAGGGUAAAAGAAGUAGAGUAUCUCUUGCUACAAUCGAAUAAGAAAGUUGAAGAACUUGAGAUUGCUUCUAGGCUAAAAUCACAGUUAUGGGAUCAGAAAGAGAACAUUUUUCAGAGUUACAUGGAUAAUCAACAAUUAGUUAUCAAGGACAUAAGAAUAUUGUCACAGUCAUAUGAAAAUGAUAUGUAUGCACUUCAAAUGCAGUGGAGAAAUGAAAUCUCUAAUUUAGGAUCUGGGUUAAAAUGUUUGGUUGAUGCCGCUGAAAAUUAUCAUAAAGUCCUGACAGAGAACCAAAAGUUAUUUAAUGAAGUGCAAGAACUAAAAGGUAAUAUAAGAGUAUAUUGUCGUGUUAGGCCAUUUCUUUCCGGUCAAGAUAAAAAGUCCACCACAAUUGACUACAUGGGGGAAAAUGGUGAGCUUCUUAUAUCAAAUCCAUUUAAGCAAGGGAAGGACGGACAUAGAAUGUUCAAGUUUAAUAAAGUGUUUACUCCAUUUGCUUCCCAAGCUGAGGUUUUUUCUGACAUACAACCACUGAUCCGAUCAGUUCUGGAUGGAUUCAACGUUUGUAUUUUUGCAUAUGGCCAGACUGGUUCUGGCAAAACUUACACUAUGAGUGGGCCUACCACAUCAAAACAAGAUUGGGGUGUCAAUUAUCGAGCUUUAAAUGAUUUGUUUGAUAUUUCACUAAGUAGGAGAAAUGCCUUCUCAUAUGAGGUGGGGGUACAAAUGGUUGAGAUAUACAAUGAACAAGUCCGUGAUCUGCUAUCAAAUGAUAUUGCACAAAGAAGACUUGGGAUUUGGAACACUUCUCAACCCAAUGGGCUUGUUGUUCCAGAUGCAAGCUUGCACUCAGUUAAGUCGACAUCUGAUGUAUUAGACUUGAUGGAGAUUGGACAAGCAAAUAGAGCAGUUGGUUCAACAGCGCUAAAUGAACGAAGUAGUCGGUCACACAGUAUUCUAACUGUACAUGUUCGAGGGAUGGAUUUGAAGAAUGGAUCAACCUCUAGGGGUUGUUUGCAUCUUAUUGAUCUUGCUGGUAGUGAGAGGGUAGAGAAGUCUGAAGUAACCGGCGAUAGAUUAAAAGAAGCUCAAUACAUUAACAAAUCACUCUCUGCGUUAGGUGAUGUUAUUUUUGCUUUGUCACAGAAAAGUGCCCAUGUGCCUUAUAGAAACAGCAAGUUAACACAAGUUCUUCAAAGUUCUUUAGCAAUUUUGGUUGGAAAAACAGUAUACUGAAAAAAGGGCAAACUUUUACAUGAAUGCUAUGUUAGUAUUUAUCAAGGUUCAACUUUCGAAGCAUGGUUUGCAUACUACUCAAAGGUAUGGCGUGCAUAAAGUGUUUUUGAUUAAUCUUUGCACGAUGACAGUAUUUGUGGAACACAUCCUUCUUUUGUGAAACCAUUUGUCAUGGGCAUCAUAGGGAGCGAGAGGCAACAGCCUGCCUCUCAGCCAGGCUGGGAUAAGGCUAGAGAAUAAGAUUGAAAUGAGCUGGGAUAAGGCUAGAGAAUAAGAUUGAGAUGAGAGAAUUGUGGAGAGUUGGUUAGCAUCAGAUAAGUCCAAGAAAGUAGGAGUUAGUUGAGAGUUUGUAGGAGAAGUUGGUUAGCCAUAGGGCUAUUUAUAAGCCGCAUGGCAGCAGGGAAUAAAUCAAACAAGAUCAUUAUCAAACCAAUCUCUCUCUCCCUUGCAAUGACCCUCUCAAGCGCCUAGGGCUGCUACCCUAGAACCAAGCCUAUAGCAGAGGGGUAUAACCUCGCCGGAGAAGACAACUAUCCCCAUGGACCGAAGGUCCAUGACACCUGGUAUCAGCUCCAGGUUAUCCUCACCACCACCAGCCGCCCAUCCCUCACCACCACCAGCCGCCGCGCCAUCUGCCGCCGCAACGCCCUCCCACCCGCCCUCUCCAACUCCAGAUGCAUUCACUCGGCUCGAAGAGAAGUGAGAUCAAUUCGUUGUGAUGUUCCACCGCUACAAGGAGAAGACAGAGAAGGAACUCCAAGCAGCGGUGCGGCUUCAGGCGGGAGCGCGAGGGUUCCUGGCACGCCGCCAGGUACAAUCCCUUCGUGGGGGCGAGGGUUCCUGGCACGCCGCCAGGUACAGUCCCUUCGUGGGGAGAAGCACCUUGCUGUGGCCUCCAGGGCCACCCCAUGGCCGUCAUCACAUGAGCAGGCCGUGGUGCGCCUGCAAGCCGCAGUGCGCGGCUUCCUUGUUAGGCGGGCGGUGCGGAAGCUGCACUUGCUGAUCAGCUCAUCGCUGCACCAACUCGCAGCCUACGCGCCCAACCACCAGGUCUCGUCUAUACUUUUUGAACCUCCUGCAGAAGUCGCUGGGUAUGUAGCCCCCCUGCACGGCCAAAGAGGGUCGUCUCCUUCAUUCGGGCAACUGCCUUGGUGCUGGACAGACCCAACAUAAGAACGGGCUGGUUCCUCCUUCACCUUUCAUCCAACGUGAAGUCCACAGUUCAGCUCUUUCCUUGGGAUCCAGGAGGACAGGAGGACAUAGCUGCAGUUCAAAUUUAUAUUUUAGUUCCACAAUUAUUUUGUAUUUUCAUCUUAAAUAAUAAAGGUAAGCCGAGAUGUAAAAGGCUUAACCUUAAGUCGUGUCAGGUAAGUCUAUGGCAGCUCGAGGACGAGCUGGUCCUCAAGGGAGGGGGAGAUGUCAUGGGCAUCAUAGGGAGCGAGAGGCAACAACCAGGCUGGGAUAAGGCUAGAGAAUAAGAUUGAGAUGAGCUGGGAUAAGGCUAGAGAAUAAGAUUGAGAUGAGAGAAUUGUGGAGAGUUGGUUAGCAUCAGAUAAGUCCAAGAAAGUAGGAGUUAGUUGAGAGUUUGUAGGAGAAGUUGGUUAGCCAUAGGGCUAUUUAUAAGCCGCAUUGCAGCAGGGAAUAAAUCAAGCAAGAUCAUUAUCAAACCAAUUUCUCUCUCUUGCAAUGACCCUCUCAAGCGCCUAGGGCUGCUACCCUAGAACCAAGCCUACGGCAGAGGGGUAUAACCUCGCCGGAGAAGACAACUAUCCCCAUGACACCAUUGCAGAUUCUUUCCAGGCUCUUACUAGCUGAGUUUUCUGUUAUUUUUUUUAGUAUUUGUUGCGUGCUACUUACUUUUAAGAGUAUUAUUUUUUUAGUAUUUGUUGCGUGCUACUUACUUUUUUAGUAUUGAUAAUGCUGUAUUAUCGUGCAUGUAAUGCCUGUCUUUUGCUGUGAUUAUCUCAGUGUUGAAACAACAGCAUUUUACAAAUUUUGUCCAGGUUGCGUCUUUGAAAGACACAAUUUUGCGCAAAGAUAUGGAAAUAGAGCAGAUCCAGGUCAUCAAAGACAAAGUAAAAUCCCCAAAUUUGUUGUUAGAUAGAAAUGUGCCUGGCUUGACGAAGACUACAGCAAACCAACCUAGCCAACUAUUAUCAGGCGAACGAAUGCUUAAGUCUAGUGACAGAGUUCUAUCGGAUCGUCAGAGUUACGGCGAGGUGAAUGUAGAUCCUAACCACCAUGUGAUGGAUACUGCACCAGUGAGCAUAGAUGAAGCAGGAUAUGAGAACAAUGCAUCGGAUGAUGGUUUAUCGGGUGAAACCGAGAAUGAUAAUUCAGCUGCUGAGAUGACAGCGGAACGGCUGCAUAGAUUUCCAUCAAGAAUAAGCAGGUUCACUCUCACAAAGAACGGGCAGCCAUCUAUGUCUAGAUCGAACCCAAAGGAUGCUAAGACUCCAAGCAAUACGAAAGCUCCAUCGAGCCGGUUGACAGGAGGCUCUUCAGCCAGGUCUAAAAGACGGCAGUAGAGCACGAUCAUGUUGCUCGUUUUGAUGUGCAUUGUAGUUGAAAUGUGAAUUUGAUGGGUAGUUGUAGGACCGUUUUAUGAUUGUAACUUUAGAAAAUGUCAGACACUGAUGGCAGAAUAUUUGAGGCAUUUGUUUGAUCAUUUGCUUAUGCCGAGCAAAACAGCAAACAAUGCUCGAUUGUAUGUGAAACACUCUGACCUGUGACCAUUUGAAUGUCGGUGCGCCUCCGGAAGUCCGGAGUUGUGUAUAUACCACCAAAUUGCCGGCCUAAAAUUUCCAGUUUGAUGCA